This 365-nucleotide ribosomal RNA is filed under the name uncultured bacterium. RNAcentral describes it as "bacterial SSU rRNA". It matches the Rfam family "Bacterial small subunit ribosomal RNA", at positions 28 to 375 of the family's 1533-position model. The record is from RNAcentral.
GAUGAACGCUAGCGGCAGGCCUAACACAUGCAAGUCGCGGGGCAGCGCGGUGCAGCAAUGCACUGGCGGCGACCGGCGCACGGGUGAGUAACGCGUAGGCAACCUACCCUUGUAUUGGGGAUAACCCCGCGAAAGCGGGGCUAAUACCGAAUGAGACCCUGUUCUGGUGGGGACAGGGUGAAAGUCGGCCGCUCGGAGAAGCUGACGUACGAGGAUGGGCCUGCGUCCUAUCAGCUAGUUGGUGUGGGUAACGGCCUACCAAGGCGACGACGGGUAGCUGGUCUGAGAGGAUGGUCAGCCGGACUGGGACUGAGAUACGGCCCAGACUCCUACGGGGGCAGCAAUUAGGAAUCUUGCGCAAUGGG